AAUCAUAUAUGGGUUCUCCAUAGUAAGUGUCUUCCAUUCCAUAUUCGUUAGAUAUGUCACGACGUAUAUGGUUUGAAUCUUUAGAUCCCCUGCAGCUUCUCAGCCCCACUCUCACCAUUAGUUACAUCACGUAUAUGGUUUGAAUCUUUUGAUCCCCUGCAGCUUCUCAGCCCCACUCUCACCAUUAGUUACAUCACUGUCAUCCUUAACCACAUGCAACCCCUCAGCUCAACUCUUCCCAUGAUCCAUAUACCAUAUCCCAUCUACUGCACUAUACUUGGCAUGUCGAAUCCCGAGAUAUUGGAGCUCAAAUAAACCCAUUAAAUUGGUAAGAAGGAAUAAGGUCUUUGAAGUCCAACCAACAUAAGUGGGUUCUGGACCACUAAAAUACAUAACACCACCACUAAACAAGCGGAUUUCAAUGGUGGCAGCCAUGCUGCAAAGGAGACCAAGAAAGCACAUCAAUUCAUUUGAUCAACCAAGUUCAUCUAUGAACGAAGUAAAAAAGGUACAAUUAUGUAGGAUCACCAAGUUUAAGCAGAUAUUGUCAAAAAUAAUAAAUCGAGCAACCCUAUACAAGUAAAAAGAAAUAAUCGUAACCACACAAACAAAAUCAUAAAUCGUAUCGACACAAACAAAACCCUAAUUAAUAACUCACACAUGCAAGCUACCAACCACAAAC
RNAcentral lists this long non-coding RNA (682 nucleotides) under Linum usitatissimum (flax). RNAcentral's name for it is "long non-coding RNA (LUSI_LNC007488)". The record is from RNAcentral. Lineage: Eukaryota; Viridiplantae; Streptophyta; Magnoliopsida; Malpighiales; Linaceae.